Molecule: long non-coding RNA, 680 nt
Filed under: Lepidothrix coronata (blue-crowned manakin)
Lineage: Eukaryota; Metazoa; Chordata; Aves; Passeriformes; Pipridae
Description: lncRNA (ENSLCOG00000016337.1)
Source: RNAcentral
CAUCUUAUCACAGUCUCUUUGUGAGACGCAAAUAGCACACUAAUGUUUUCUUUUGUUAGGGUGAGUUGGCAAUCUCCUCAGAGAUGGAGCAACUACAGACAGCUCUUUUUUUUGAUAAUCUUCCUGACACUUGGAUGAGACUGGCUUAUCCAUCAACAUACAGUUGCUCAGUGGAGCCUCCUGAGUAAGGCAAAGAGCCACUGACUGAUGGAGUGAACGAGGACUGGAGAGCUGACCAAAGGACAGGAAAGCUCUGCCAAGCACAAAGACAGGUAGCACUAGAAGGCAAAACAAGCCCACUCUUCUGAGAUCAGUACAGACUUCUGAGAGAUCAAAAGUGGAAGAAGAAAUCUUGUUCAUCAGAAGACACAUUGAGAAGAGCAUCAGAGACAGGACCAGACUGCAAGGGAAAGCCUGGAGAGGAUUUCCAUGCUUUAAAAAGAGAAACAGGGGAAGACUGAAUUUCUUGAGGUCACUGAGGAAACGCAUGGCAGCGCUAGGAAAAGAAGCACUCGAGCAGCCGAGAUACCAUCUUCACAGCCAAAACCAGAUGGGUUUUCUCUGCAGUAUGACAUAACAGCAAAGACAGAGCAGGUCUGUGGAUUUUGUGGCAAUGAAGUUAAAUAAGGUUAAUUUCUGGGUGGUUGAGAGAUGUUUUUGUAAUUGCAUCACGGCAAAAG